GAUGAAGAACGUAGCGAAAUGCGAUACUUGGUGUGAAUUGCAGAAUCCCGUGAACCAUCGAGUCUUUGAACGCAAGUUGCGCCCGAAGCCAUUAGGCCGAGGGCACGCCUGCCUGGGCGUCACACGUCGUUGCCCCCCCAUCUACUCCUUCGGGAUUGCGGGGGGCGGAUGAUGGCCUCUCGUGCGCCUCGUCGCGCGGUUGGCCUAAAUGCCAAGUCCUCGGCGACGCACGCCACGACAAUCGGUGGUUGCGAAACCUCGGUUGCCUGUCGUGUGCGGUCGUCGCGCAUCGAGGGCUCGAAAAAAUUGCCGGGCUUCGGCUCGACUUUCAACGCGACCCCAGGUCAGGCGGGGUUACCCGCUGAAUUUAAGCAUAUCAAUAAGAGGAGGA
Molecule: unclassified non-coding RNA, 391 nt
Filed under: soil metagenome
Description: partial contains 5.8S ribosomal RNA, internal transcribed spacer 2, and large subunit ribosomal RNA
Rfam family: 5.8S ribosomal RNA (bases 1-122)
Source: RNAcentral